Long non-coding RNA from Phasianus colchicus (ring-necked pheasant), 1633 nucleotides. The record is from Ensembl. NCBI's taxonomy places the organism in Eukaryota, Metazoa, Chordata, Aves, Galliformes, Phasianidae.
UACAGACAUAAGCUGAGCAUGAUGUUAUGUCUGCAUGUGAUCUUAUCUAAGUGCUUUGAGAGAGAAAAGGGGCUUUUUUUUUUUUUUUUAUUCAGGGGGAAUUUCAUAUCUAAGUCCCCUGAGUACUUGUUGGAAAUCUCACCGUGACGCUUAUCUGCUUAGGCAUGCAUUCAAGAAAAAUAAUUUUUGUUUGGGGGAUUUUUUUAGGGGAAUUUUAUAUAACUAGAGAUAGGGCAGGGCUAGGUCCCAAGUUUAAAACACUUCUUUUCCUACUGUUGUAACAGAUUCAUUCUAUCACUACAAAACAAAAGAUGCAGCUAACAAGAUGUUCUUUAAAUUAACAGCCUUCUCUUUGAAGAAAGGUAGAAUGCUUUGCUGUCAUAUUUCUCUUAUGAGCACCUAUGACAUGGAGAAAAUGUGAGGCAUGUCUAAGACGACUUCUUUUGUCAGGAUGGACAAUAUUUUAUGUUAAACUUCUGUACUCGUGAGAUGCCAGAGUGAUAUUAUGAUAGACCUCCCUAUUUGUGUUUGUGUAAAUUUUUUAUAGGAUCUUCUAAAAAAGAUGCCUACACUGUCUGCCCUGUAGGGCCUAUUGGCUUCCAGUUUUCCUGUAAUAUCUGGUUUGCAGUAAAUGAAGGAAUGAGACUUGAAGCAUGCUCUGUCUUAGGGUACUUAGCUGGAGAAUUCCUUUGCAUCAAGCUAAGCCCUGUCUGUUGCCCUGACCUGAACCAGGCCAUGAAGGAAGUGGAAAGACAGAAUGAAGACAUCACCAGAUUAAUUAUUUCUAGGAUGUAUCUUGUACUCUUUUCUUCUAACUUAACCAUGGUUUCUUUCCAUAACUUAAAUAAUUUGGUUUUUAAGGUAUUUUGUAGCUAACUAAAUUAUACAGAAGUUUUAGUAUGAUUUGCACUUUUAAGUGCCACAUUUGAACACUUAUGUGAUAGUGAAAAAGAAUUGGAAAGACGUAUCUUCUUGCAUGAAGAAAAACCAUGAUAUGAGUGGAAAAACUUCGGGCUUUACUUUUCAUGUACAUAAUACAUUCUGUUUAUGGAGUCAUAUUUCACUGAUCACAUUUCUCAUCCCACCUUUUGAUCCUUGUAUGCGUUGUUCGCACACAAAAUUUCCUUUCACUUGGGAAGAAGUAGACCAGUGAAAUCAGUAUCUUCAUCUCACUGCGGUCAGUGAAUGAACUUCCAAUUCAGUGCUUUCUCUACACCUAGAUUUUGACAGUAUUUUCUAGCACAGCCCAUGGAAUAACUGUUACUAGGGUUCUGGCCAUUAAUGUUUAUGUAUAGCCAAGACAAAGAACUGAAGUAUGACAGAUUUGAUAUGAAAGAGAGCAUCAAAUUACAUUACACAUUCAGCUUCUACUGAGAGCUCUACUCAGAGGCUCUACCAGUCAUAGGGCAGUAGUGUCCAUGCAUUUCAGUGGUAUGAUGCACAAAGAAAGCAUCAGUUCAUGGAAACAUAUGUGGGACCCUGCUUGGGAUCAAGACACGCUUGUUAUCUUAUUUUUCUGGCUACGCAGAACUGUCUUUUAUUCUUAUAUUUCAUAGCAGUUUUGUAACUUAAGCAACACAUACUGCAAAAAGAAUGUGAGAAAAUAAAAUGACUUUUCUCCUGCUUUCUUGCA